UCUUCUAUAGCUCAGCGGUAGAGCGGGUGACUGUUAAUCACCAGGUCGUUGGUUCGAAACCAACUAGGGGAG
Molecule: transfer RNA, 72 nt
Filed under: Jakoba bahamiensis
Lineage: Eukaryota; Jakobea; Jakobida; Jakobidae
Description: tRNA-Asn
Rfam family: tRNA
About the family: Transfer RNA (tRNA) molecules are approximately 80 nucleotides in length. Their secondary structure includes four short double-helical elements and three loops (D, anti-codon, and T loops).
Source: RNAcentral